Molecule: ribosomal RNA, 497 nt
Filed under: uncultured bacterium
Lineage: Bacteria
Description: partial 16S ribosomal RNA
Rfam family: Bacterial small subunit ribosomal RNA
Source: RNAcentral
GAUGAACGCUGGCGGCGUGCCUAAUACAUGCAAGUCGAGCGAACAGACGAGGAGCUUGCUCCUCUGACGUUAGCGGCGGACGGGUGAGUAACACGUGGAUAACCUACCUAUAAGACUGGGAUCACUUCGGGAAACCGGAGCUAAUACCGGAUAAUAUAUUGCACCGCAUGGUUCAAUAGUGAAAGACGGUUUUGCUGUCACUUAUAGAUGGAUCCGCGCCGCAUUAGCUAGUUGGUAAGGUAACGGCCUACCAAGGCAACGAUGCGUAGCCGACCUGAGAGGGUGAUCGGCCACACUGGAACUGAGACACGGUCCAGACUCCUACGGGAGGCAGCAGUAGGGAAUCUUCCGCAAUGGGCGAAAGCCUGACGGAGCAGCGCCGCGUGAGUGAUGAAGGUCUUCGGGUCGUAAAACUCUGUUAUUAGGGAAGAACAAAUGUGUAAGUAACUAUGCACGUCUUGACGGUACCUAAUCAGAAAGCCACGGCUAACUACGUG